CACCGGUUGCCAUCAUCACUUCUUCAUGUAUCUGUCUUUCUUCUUAUCUUUUUUAUUUUACAGGCAAAAUGUAAUGUCAGAAGUUGGAUUUAUGUAGUUCAGUCAGUGCAGUUGCAUUCACAUAUAAUUCGAGCUAUGGCAUUAAUCGACUUAACACCUUAAGCAGAAUGUUAGCUCAUAUCCUAGUUUAGGAAGUGUAACUUUUGAAUGAAGGCGGUAGCUGGUAACAUGGGCCCUUUUGUGUCAGUAUCCUUCUGGUUAGCCUAUAGCAACACACAAAUAGAAAACAAACACUGGCGUGAGUGAAGCCAAUGGAUUAAAAGCAGGAAAAGCACAUUGGCUGAAGGACUAGACGACAACAACGCUGCAGCACUAUUUGAUGGUGUGACCCUUCUUUCCACCUGACGUGAAAGCAAAAUGCACUACAUGGCAGUUAGCCGCCGCUAUAGUGGACGGUGUCCUUUCCACCAUUAGCAAAGGGUAACGUUUUGGUUGUGUCCCAGAAGUGAAGGAACGCUGUGAUUAUGUUUCAAAUCUAUUUUUUAUGCGCUACGCUUCUAAAAGAUGUCAAAGUCUGCAGUUUAGGUAGGAUCAGACAUGAAGUCAAACACGAAAGCAGUGUAAAACAUCGGGAAACUUUCAAAAUAAGAGUCAUGUGCAGAUAAACGUACAUCAAAUCACAGACCUUUUAAGCCACAGAAGUUUUUGGAUACAUGCAGCUGUCUUUCUCAUUGUUUGGUAUUGUGUGGACUUCUGAAAUCACGCAUGGUAUUGCGAUUCUCCUGUCAUUUUGUGACUGUGGGAUCAGCGGCGUGGAACGCUUUCGCUCUCGUUUUACGUCUGCAUCACUCCCGGUUGGAAAGGAGCUCAUGGGUAAAAUGCAGCUGUUACAUUACACACCGCUUUCAUGUCCGGUGGGAAAAUGGAGUUACACUUCAGAUUCAUGCAGUCUUGUGUAAAUGAUAAGAUUAGAAGACUGCAUCUGUGGUCUCAUCACUUCCAGAAGGGGGAGUGCACAGGUCGGUCAUAGCUCAACUAAGCUAGGAUGUCAAGAGAAAUUAUUUUUUAACGACGUUAUCUGGGUGCCUAAGCUUGAUUAGUAGUAGGCCAGUAUGGUUUGACUUCAGACAAACUAAGUUGUUUACGUGCAUUCUAAAAGUCUGACAGUUGUUAGAAUAAGGAAAUGAUUUGUCCUUUUUUUCUUUACUGCUUAUAAACACGGAGUGUCCGUAGAUAUCUUAAGAAAUACAACUGCAAUAACUCCAGUCUUUACCUGGUGCUUGUUGAUCACAAGAAUAAACCAACAAAUCUGAUUGUUGUUUCACCAGCUAUUACUUAGAACUAGAGAAACCAGAAACUGAUUUUUAAUGAAACUGAGAGGUUGUAUCAGUACAUCUACAACACCAGCUUAUUUCAUUCUACUUCCAUAGUAUCUUCCUAAUAAUAUUAUUAUUAUUAGGGAUCCACAUUUAAAAAAAAUUCUUUAACUGGCUAUUGACGCCCCUUAACGGUUAACUCAUUCACUGCCAAUGACGACUAAAGUCGUCAUUUUAAAUUCAACCAUUCACUGCCAAUGACGACAAAAGUUGUCUUUGCAUUUUUUUACUGUGUGGGCGUCGGAACGAGCCCUCGCACCGUGAGAACAAACAUCUCAGCUCUAAAGCCGAUCUUCAUCCGCAUACGUCACACGUCAUGUGAUUAGGAAGCAGAAAAUCCACGUGUUAGAAGAUCGUUUUGGGUCGCUGCUGUAAAAAAAAGUGAGGCGCAAACUGGAAAUGCUUUUGCUUAUCACAAUUCAACAACGCAUUAUGAAAGAAUGGAUAAAGCUCGAAAUGCACGGAUUCUUCCUGAUGUAAGAGGUGAGUCUCCGCUUUGUUUUGGUUGUUUUGGCGCCAACAUCAUCCUAGCGUGCAACGUUCUGUGACUCUUAAAAAGCAGUAAAAACAGUGAGAAACACUGGCAGCGAAGGGCUUUACCGAUCAGGAAACGGCUGGCAGCAAAUGAGUUAGUAGCCGGUUAACCGGAAACCAACACUUGAUAUUUCUUUGUUUUACUAGACAAAUUAGGAGUCAGACACAAGGACCGUCACGGCACACUGACCUUUUGCUGGUCUCGGUUCAGUUUGCUGCGCCAUGUUCUGCCAGGCUCAGCGCUUUGAUGUGAGGCUUAUUGAGUUCCAAGAAUGAAAUGACUAAGAAUAAACUGCUGUAACCGCUUUGAUAACCGCUUCGUGUUUGAGCACAUUUGUUUGGUCAUGUGACAAGCUCAUUUCUUUUUCUGCGGUGGCCCAGUAAACAUAUUUGAUAGUGGUGCUCUUGCGCCCUCUGGUGGCACAAAAUAUAUUGUAUCCCAGCGCAGCAGAAUAACUUGAAGCAGUUAACCGGGAAAAACUAGUUUAAUGUUUACAACAUUAGUGUUAAUUAACCGGUUAACUAUGUACAUCUCUAAUUAUUAUCUAAAAUCCUACCAUGUCGGUCAAUUUAGAUCUAGUUUCUAUUAAAAAUGAUGAUGUGUUCUUGCAGUACAGGAGAUAUAAAACAGGAAUUGUUAUAUUAAGUUAAAAUUUGGUGGUUUAGUCAUCAGCAGAAAUUAUGAGUCCCUACCAACAUGUUGCCUUAAAAUGUUUGCAUUAAUUGUUGGAGUCCACCCCAUUUCUGUGUUAGCAAAAAAUGUCAUGAACAACUGGGCAAAUUUUAGUGGCAUGUUUAAAACAUUUUAGUGGAUGUGCGUCAACUGCUCAUGAGCUUUUAAAUUUGACAAAUUUCAAGAUGGCCACAAUAACCAAUCUCCCACAUAAAUGGAUACAGCCCAGUCAGUUUUACAGAUACUGAGCUAUGUCGUAUUAGCUUAGAGGCCUUCAACAUUGUUUUUCAAUGUAAGCUCAUCAUAUUUUGUAACUGAUCUGAAAGGUGGUGAAAUGCGUAUUUUUUCAGGGGAUAAAAACGUUUGAUUCUUAUUGGAAUCUUUUGAGAGCUACAUUGAUUAUCAGCAUUUUGUCUCUUGCAAAGAUGAUUUACUUCAUGCAGUCUUCAGCUCACUCAAAGCACAUUUCAGAAAGCAAAAUGUAUUUUAUUCAAAGCUCUUUAAUGGAUGCGGUGCCACCUUUUUUCUGUUGCACAUCAAAAAAUUCUCCUAAAUCUUUUUACUGCAGUGGUCAUUAGCACUUAAAGGAUAGGAUCAGGCUAAGGACGAGUGGAAACAACUCCAUCGCCUUUUUACCCUCCACUACAAGGAACAUUACACAACAUCACUUUGUCUUAGCAGAUGGAGGGAGAAUGAGGGCUCAACAGUGGGGAGUCAGUGAGGGGAAAAAGGAAUGAGAGGAUAGCGGUGAGACUCCAGGAUGUUUUGGAGUUUGCAUGUGCAAGACAUAAGGGACAGGAAGAAGGCUAACAUCAUCUUCCACCGGUAAUUGAAAGCAGAUCUGGUCGCUGACGGUUCCUGCCAGCAACUAAAAAAAUAGAAAGAGAGAAGAAGAAACACACUUCCUGUCCCUUCACCUCAACCCGCCUCCCCUUUUUAUCCUGCAGCACACAGCUCUGAGCUCACCCAGAGACAUUCAGUCCUUGUGGCCUGUUCCUGGAAACAAGAGAGGGCUGAGUUUAGAGGUUUUUUUCUUUUCCUUUUUUAUUCCCUUUGCACAGCCCAGCUGAAACGCCAGCCGCAGAGCCCCGGACUUGAUUAUAUCCACAUGGGUGCAAACAUUUGUUUCUAAUCCAUUUUAUAUAAGAAACUUCCAGUGGUGCCGGAUGGAUGCAUGCCCAGAGUUUCUGUGAAGCCUUUUUGGAUCGUGUAUCUUAAGAUUUAAAGAUUCCGUGUUUGACUUUACAUUGAAUUUACAUGCAAAUAUAGUAAAAGUUCAUUUUAAUUAGCUGUUUCUCAUUUGACAAAGAACUUGACUCAAUUUUAACAUUUUUUUGGCCUGCAAUUUUUUUUUAUAAAUAUGUUCAACUGGCUUUAAUACUUGGCAUCUAGAAGAACUGCUUUAAUUCUCCCUUUAAAAAAUGCCCCUCGUCUCCUGUGUGUGUGUGUGUGUGUGUGUGUGUGUGUGUGUGUGUGUGUGUGUGUGUGUUGUGUGUGUGUGUGUGUGUGUGUGUGUGUGUGUGUGUGUGUGUGUGUGUGUGUGUGUGUGUGUGUGCGCGCGCGCGCGCGUGUGUGCGUGUGUUUGAGAUGUUCCGGACACCCUCCUUUAAGCCCCAUCAAAGAGCCAAAGCCUUACAGGCCCCUUGUAAAGUUCAGAAAACAACAGUAAAAGAUAAUAACUGGUCCUUGAACAAAAAGGAAAGGGGGCACAGCGAGGUGUGAGUCAAAACAUUUCCUUCUAAUUCCACAGAUGCUGUAAUUGUGACAACAAAGAGUCACAGUUUUAGAUUUAAUUAAACUCUGAAUUUUUAUCUCUGGUGUCAUUAGGAUUCCAGUAACAACCAAAAACGUCUACAGCCAGAGUUCACCCAUUCUUGUUCCUGUGAAUGACAUAUCGGAGGAAACUUUUAAAGGUGUCCUAGAAUUCUAAACCACGUUUAAAGAGCAAGUCACCCACAAAUCAACUUUUUUUUUGCUGAUAAACUAAAUAAACGAGUGUCUAAUCGUGCUGCAGACACGUGUAGUCAAUAAUUUGGCACUUCAGUGUAUCUUAGUUAAAAUUUAAACAUUCUGCCUAAAACUGGCAGUGCUGUGCCGUUGUCAGGUAAAAACUCUGCACUGUAUUUGAAUUUUAAUCUGCCCCCGCUAUUGGCUAAGAGGUAUGCUAUGAUGUAAACUGGUACAUUAUGAUGUCACAAUGCUGUUGUGAGCCUGUGUGUGUGUGUAUUUGUUAGCGGCUCCGCCCUCUCAGUCUGCCAGGCAACAGCAUUUGUUGCAUUUUUCAAACAUGAAGUGGGAGUGGAGUUAGACUCUGGUAGGGGGUGACUUGCUCUUUAAAUAGUUGCUGUUUAAUACAGGCAUCUUGGGAUGUCUAAUGUAGCAUACCAAGUAGCCUGUGCCUUCUCUGACCUGCUUUCCUAUGCUAAUUAGUAAUGUUGUAAUGCCCGUGGAGAAGCGUUUAGUUCUGAGAAAAGCUGACAUGACAUGUCAUAAGCUCAAGACACACCACCUUACAUCUGCAUUUCCCUACCCACUUCUGCAUUGUAUAAAUGACUACGUUUACAUGCAGCCAAUAUCCGGGUUAUGAUCGGGUUAAGGUCGGCAUUCGGGUUUCUGAGUUGAUCAGAAUAACCCGUUUACAAGCACAAAUAGAAAGAGUUACCCCUAACUUGCAUAACCCGAUGUAAAUGCGGACGUUGGGGUAGCGUCAGGACGUGUGGACUACGUCCAGACGCAAUACGCGUCAUUUCCGGUUCUUCUCGUUCCGGUAUCCCUGAAAACAACAACAUGUUUCCCAGUUUGGAAGAGAUAGCGACCGCGUUUGUUUGCGCUUUAGUUCCCUCGUCACUCCGAAAGUGUGGUGCUGUGCUGCGACUCGCCAUGUUGCUCCCAACUUGUUGUUUACUUCCGGUGUUCUGGCGCAUACAAGAUGUCUCGCUACUCAAAAGACCAAGAUUCCUUGCGAACAGAGCAUGCGCAGAACACACGCUUUGAUGGGGAUAUCCCGGUAUGCGUUUACACGACCAAACAUUCGGGUUAGAAAAGGGUUACCCCAGGUGUAGUAACCGGGUUUUUAAAAACCCGGUUAUGAGCAUAUCCGGGUAUCUGGCGGUGUUUACAUGGACCUGCGGAACCGGGUUAUUGUGAAUAUUCAGGUUUUAAAAGGGUUACUGGCUGCAUGUAAACGCACUGAAUGUUAAUCACGGUAAUGCUAACCACUAACAAUGCUAGCCUGAGCUACCGCUAAUGCUAGGCCAAACUGCUGCUAAUGCUAUCCUGAGUUGCUAAAGCCCUUAUUGGAAAUGAGGAAAACAAAGAAGUAUGUGGGAGCAGUCAUUCCAGGAUGUAAAGGGAAUAUUCAGGCUGCGAAUGAAGAGCUGAAAGAUCCAUAUCUUGCCCAUUGAGUUGUCUGGAUACUGUACAUGACUGUACACAGUGUUACUAGACUCAGGCAGUGUCAUAGAGCCAUCAGGGAAACCGAUCAAUCAGCAUAAGCUCAUUUAAUAUUUAUGUCCUGGCAAGUGGGUGGGGCAAGACAGACAAUAAAGCAUUAUAAGGCUUUAUUAUGGAGUUGUUUGGCAAUUAAUCAUUAGGGCUAAGCAAGCCCCCACAAUGCAGAUCUGAAAUUGAAUCAAACCCGGAAGUACCAUAAAUUGCAUUUCCACCCUCAUCCGCUGGAGGCUGGUGUCAGAAGCGAGCAAAUCCUCAUUGACUCCCAUGUUAAAAAUACCAAUUUCCCAGCAGAAAUAAACAUGUUUACAGCCUGGUACCCAAAAAAUGUUUUUUGUUUAAAUAAUCUAGUUUACACUCAUGACAAUUCUGAGGGGGUGAAUUGUUUUCUCACUCUUCUGUUUAAGUGUAUUAAAAGCCUAAAAUUCUGUAUAAUUGAUGAGCAUCCAACACACGUGACUGCCGCUUCAGACCCACGUGACCACAGAGCUAGCUCCGUGGAAAGGCCUCAGUAGAGCCUCGGUCUGGCUUGGAAACUGCUCCGGCAUUUUGAGUGUCUCUGUUUGUGUAUUCGUUUUUGGAUAUUUUUGUGCAAUUGUUGGACAAAAUGACUUGCUGUGGCAUUAAUUGCACUAAUAGAGCGUCCAAGGAGUCUCCACUUCAUUUUUUUCGGUAAGUUAAAUUAUAUUUAUGUAUUUUAGGUCACUGCCGCCUUUAAACUAGCUGAGUUUAUCGAAGUAGCUAGCUAACUAUCAUUUUAACAUGUAGCAUGUACUGUUUAACCAUGAAAUUUAGAUGUAAAAUACGGUAAAAUUAUUAAUAGGGCAUAUUUCGAUGGGUAAAAGAGUAAAACCCAGUGCAUUUAACAUAAAAAUGGGUUGUAAUAUGACGGAGCUCUUGGAGGGACUCUUCUGUGCUCCAUUCUUCCACCCGGUUCUCCCCAGCGGUCAGCCCGGUGCAUGUCUGACCGAUGCAGCGCCUACUAGCUGCUGCGCGGGCUGACGGCUUGUGGAGCUCUCGGACUCGAAGAGAGACCUGACCGCAGAAAUACUGCAGCUCAAUUCCCUACCUAAAUGCAAAGUUUGAGAGACGUGGUUCACUUAAUUCCGCUAAUAUCAGUCUGCACUGCCUUCGGGCUAAUUUGACAAGUUCACAAAAUGUGGAACGGGAUGUAAGGUUAGAAUCAGCGGCGAAUCGGAACAUAUCUCGAAGCCCUGGCCGACGAAACGGUCCACAUGACUGUUACUGUCAGGCUUGGAGAAAAUUUGGGAUGUUUUUGUGUCAGUCGAUUCUGCAACAGUGACUCGAACUAAUGCAGCACUAGUUGACAGACGUCAUUACAGCGUGACCCGGUUCUGUGAGGAAUUCUGUUCAGGAGGUCGCAUUUCAGGCUCUCCACAUCAUAUGCGACUGACUUUUACGUUAUAAUAACGGUCACACACUAGGAAUGUUAUAAAGCACCUAUAUCUGACAGUUUCUUUUGUAUAUUAUCUGACUUUAUAAACUCCAACAACAAUGUGCUUCUAUUUUUUUCAGGCUAAAUCUACCCAAGACAUUGGCUGUCAGACUGAUUUAGUAGUCUGCAAGAAUGCACUUGUCCAGGCUGAUGUGAAGCCUUACCCAUAGCAAAGCCACCCAGUUUAGAGCUCCCAGCUGCUGUGUGUCUGGUGACACAGGGACCAUGACGGAAAUUCAUCUUACAGAAAGUCUGGCUCAUCAUUUAGCCAGAUUUCUAAGUUCCUGGGUGCCUUCAAUGUGCAGGGACUGUCCAAGCAGACAUUCUAUCGACAUCAGGCAAAGCUCUUAAUUCCAACAAUGAGCUGGCAGUGGCAUCUAGAGCACGCUGAUAUCAUCCAGGAGGCUACUGAAUUUGGACCUGUGACUCUUGGUGGUGACAUGCGAGCUGAUUCACCUGGUGAAUACGUUUAAAUUUAUUUAUUUUAUUCCUUUGCUAUCAAAUGUAAAUUAAGUAAUAACUUGCAUUUCUGAAGGACACUCAGCCAAAUAUGGCAGCUACACCAUGAUGGAUCUCAAAAGAAACAAAGUUAUUGAUAUCCAACUCGUACAGGUACAACAUUACCUGAUGAUUCCAAUACAUUUCUUGGUUAAUUAUUCACAGAUCAAUGGAGAAUUAUGUUUAU
This is a non-coding RNA of Nothobranchius furzeri (turquoise killifish), 8174 nucleotides long. NCBI's taxonomy places the organism in Eukaryota, Metazoa, Chordata, Actinopteri, Cyprinodontiformes, Nothobranchiidae. The record is from RefSeq and is a predicted model, not a curated record.